This 279-nucleotide ribosomal RNA is filed under the name uncultured bacterium. RNAcentral's name for it is "partial 16S ribosomal RNA". It matches the Rfam family "Bacterial small subunit ribosomal RNA", at positions 506 to 784 of the family's 1533-position model. The record is from RNAcentral.
UGCCAGCCGCCGCGGUAAUACGGAGGGUGCAAGCGUUGUUCGGAAUUACUGGGCGUAAAGCGCGUGUAGGCGGCUAGGCAAGUCGGCUGUGAAAGCCCGGGGCUCAACCCCGGAACUGCAUCCGAAACUGCUUAGCUAGAGUCCCGGAGAGGAAGGCAGAAUUCCCAGUGUAGGGGUGAAAUCCGUAGAUAUUGGGAGGAAUACCAGUGGCGAAGGCGGCCUUCUGGACCAAUACUGACGCUGAGAUGCGAAAGCGUGGGGAGCGAACAGGAUUAGAUA